Andrographis paniculata is the source of this 843-nucleotide long non-coding RNA. RefSeq lists it as uncharacterized. Lineage: Eukaryota; Viridiplantae; Streptophyta; Magnoliopsida; Lamiales; Acanthaceae. The transcript is spliced from 2 exons. The record is from RefSeq and is a predicted model, not a curated record.
AUGCCAAAAACCCUAGAGUUGUUCUCAGCCGCAGCGGCGGAGAUCGGGCGGAGGUGAAGCGGGAGCGAAUCGUCGGAUGCGUUAGGUUGGGGGUGAUGGGUAAGUAAUCCUCCGGUGGCGGAAAGUUCCUUACCUAUACCCCCCAUGCCGAAGGCUUCCGAUUUUCCUCCCCGUUCAUUCUCCAGCUCUGUAGAGCUAUGUGGUUUCUUCGUGAUUUCGCUAGAUCUACUCGGUUCUUUGGUCACAGGUGUAGUCGGAUUUAUUUAUUCAUUCUUCAACUUUUUUGGUCUAGAUCUGCGUUUCCUGUUUCGAUAUAUAUAUAUUAUUUCUCUCUCUUGAUUACCUUCUUUUCUAUGUUUUGGUUCAUUUUCUACUGCUGGAUCUGUUACAUAAGCGAACAAGGAAUUGUUCCAUUCCAGUAAAAGUAAUGUUCUUCAGGUUCAUUAUUAAUUACUUUAAUUUCAUAGGUAUAUGUAGCGUAGAUAAGAAACUGAGGAAUUGCAAGAAGGAUAAGAAUCCAAGCUAUUUAGCAACUGACAUGAAGGCCAGGUUUGUUGUAGCCAGAGAAACUCCCAGAUGAGCUGCUCCAGUUCCACUGUAUAUAUUCCUUUCGUGUUAUAAACUGUCAAGCUUUGUCUGUGAAUUUUUAUCAGAGGAGAGAAGUGACCUGGGCGUGUAAAUUGGGGACUAUUAUUUGUGUGACCAUAUGAUAACACGGGCGUGUUUCGAUUUAUCCGAACUGGCGAAUUUCAUACUUGUAUUUUGUAUAUUUUUUUCCUUAAAACUUUUGAGACAAAUUAUAAUGGUAUGAAAAUGGACAUGAAAACAAGUGUAUUAUACCAA